Molecule: long non-coding RNA, 949 nt
Filed under: Cyanistes caeruleus (blue tit)
Lineage: Eukaryota; Metazoa; Chordata; Aves; Passeriformes; Paridae
Description: lncRNA (ENSCCEG00000022038.1)
Source: RNAcentral
CUCUGGAGGAGGCAGCGGCAGCCCAGGAGAACGUGUUGCACAACUGGGCUCCUCCAUUUCCAGCCUGCCAGGAAAACUGAGCUUUACACCCGAAAACUCAUUCCCAAAAUAAUCAGCAUGAGCUUGGGAGUGAACUGAGAAGCCGGGUGUGCAAGGGGCAGCAGGAAUGUGUGUCAGGAUAUACUUCUUUCUGCUGGAAUAGCAUAGAAUCAUGGAAUGGUUUGGGUUGGAGGCACAUUAAAGCCCACCCAGUGCCACCCCAGCCAUGGCAGGGACACCUCCCACUGUCCCAGGCUGCUCCAGCCCCAAUGUCCAGCCUGGCCUUGGGCACUGCCAGGGAUCCAGGGCCUGCCCACCCUGCCAGGGAACAAUUCCUGCCCAAUAUCCCAUCCAGCCCUGCCCUCCGGCAGUGGGAAUCCAUUCCCUGUGUCCUGUCCCUCCAGGCCCUCGUAAACACAGUUCUCACUUCCUGGAUCUACUUGUAAAAGAUGCGAGCCUGUAAAACUGUGAAUUUCUGUGCUUUUUGAGGGCUGCUCGUUGUUUGGAUUUACUUUCCCCCACAUGCUCUCCUCUUCCACCACUGACCAGCCCCUCGUCCUUCCGGAGGACACACCGAGAAUACUCCGGGGUUACACCGAGAAUACUCCGGGGUUACACCGAGGCUACACCUGCACACCACGCGUUACCUCCGCCUUUGCCAAGGACACAAACGUGUUCCAUGUGGGCAGGUCCCAGCCAUACAGAAGGGAUGGGGAUUCCAGGGAAAUCAGGUGCUGCUUUCAGUCCCCUCCUGAGACGUUUUCCAAGAUGUGGAGACCCCAGCAAUGAACAGCUUUGCUGGAAUUCCUCUGGAAAUGAGGAGCUUUCCCAGCAUCCAGCAGGUGCCAGCUCAGGAUAAACCCAGAGGAUGCUGAAUAAAGGAUCAUUUCUGUGGUGGUUAAAGGUGAUU